RNAcentral lists this ribosomal RNA (253 nucleotides) under uncultured bacterium. Its description in RNAcentral is "partial 16S ribosomal RNA". It matches the Rfam family "Bacterial small subunit ribosomal RNA", at positions 524 to 776 of the family's 1533-position model. The record is from RNAcentral.
UACGUAGGGGGCAAGCGUUGUCCGGAAUCAUUGGGCGUAAAGCGCGUGUAGGCGGCCUUGUAAGUCUGUUCUGAAAGCCCGGGGCUCAACCCCGGGAGGCGGAUGGAUACUGCAAGGCUCGAGUACGGAAGAGGCGAGUGGAAUUCCCGGUGUAGCGGUGAAAUGCGCAGAUAUCGGGAGGAACACCAAUGGCGAAGGCAGCUCGCUGGGACGUUACUGACGCUGAGACGCGAAAGCGUGGGGAGCAAACAGG